Molecule: ribosomal RNA, 969 nt
Filed under: Staphylococcus aureus
Lineage: Bacteria; Bacillati; Bacillota; Bacilli; Caryophanales; Staphylococcaceae
Description: bacterial SSU rRNA
Rfam family: Bacterial small subunit ribosomal RNA
Source: RNAcentral
GGCGUGCCUAAUACAUGCAAGUCGAGCGAACGGACGAGAAGCUUGCUUCUCUGAUGUUAGCGGCGGACGGGUGAGUAACACGUGGAUAACCUACCUAUAAGACUGGGAUAACUUCGGGAAACCGGAGCUAAUACCGGAUAAUAUUUUGAACCGCAUGGUUCAAAAGUGAAAGACGGUCUUGCUGUCACUUAUAGAUGGAUCCGCGCUGCAUUAGCUAGUUGGUAAGGUAACGGCUUACCAAGGCAACGAUGCAUAGCCGACCUGAGAGGGUGAUCGGCCACACUGGAACUGAGACACGGUCCAGACUCCUACGGGAGGCAGCAGUAGGGAAUCUUCCGCAAUGGGCGAAAGCCUGACGGAGCAACGCCGCGUGAGUGAUGAAGGUCUUCGGAUCGUAAAACUCUGUUAUUAGGGAAGAACAUAUGUGUAAGUAACUGUGCACAUCUUGACGGUACCUAAUCAGAAAGCCACGGCUAACUACGUGCCAGCAGCCGCGGUAAUACGUAGGUGGCAAGCGUUAUCCGGAAUUAUUGGGCGUAAAGCGCGCGUAGGCGGUUUUUUAAGUCUGAUGUGAAAGCCCACGGCUCAACCGUGGAGGGUCAUUGGAAACUGGAAAACUUGAGUGCAGAAGAGGAAAGUGGAAUUCCAUGUGUAGCGGUGAAAUGCGCAGAGAUAUGGAGGAACACCAGUGGCGAAGGCGACUUUCUGGUCUGUAACUGACGCUGAUGUGCGAAAGCGUGGGGAUCAAACAGGAUUAGAUACCCUGGUAGUCCACGCCGUAAACGAUGAGUGCUAAGUGUUAGGGGGUUUCCGCCCCUUAGUGCUGCAGCUAACGCAUUAAGCACUCCGCCUGGGGAGUACGACCGCAAGGUUGAAACUCAAAGGAAUUGACGGGGACCCGCACAAGCGGUGGAGCAUGUGGUUUAAUUCGAAGCAACGCGAAGAACCUUACCAAAUCUUGACAUCCUU